GAUGAACGCUGGCGGCGUGCCUAAUACAUGCAAGUCGAGCGAACGGACGAGAAGCUUGCUUCUCUGAUGUUAGCGGCGGACGGGUGAGUAACACGUGGAUAACCUACCUAUAAGACUGGGAUAACUUCGGGAAACCGGAGCUAAUACCGGAUGAUAUUUUGAACCGCAUGGUUCAAAAGUGAAAGACGGUCUUGCUGUCACUUAUAGAUUGAUCCGCGCUGCAUUAGCUAGUUGGUAAGGUAACGGCUUACCAAGGCAACGAUGCAUAGCCGACCUGAGAGGGUGAACGGCCACACUGGAACGGAGACACGGUCCAGACUCCUACGGGAGGCAGCAGUAGGGAAUCUUCCGCAAUGGGCGAAAGCCUGACGGAGCAACGCCGCGUGAGUGAUGAAGGUCUUCGGAUCGUAAAACUCUGUUAUUAGGGAAGAACAUAUGUGUAAGUAACUGUGCACAUCUUGACGGUACCUAAUCAGAAAGCCACGGCUAACUACGUG
This 497-nucleotide ribosomal RNA is filed under the name uncultured bacterium. RNAcentral describes it as "partial 16S ribosomal RNA". It matches the Rfam family "Bacterial small subunit ribosomal RNA", at positions 28 to 507 of the family's 1533-position model. The record is from RNAcentral.